CGAACCACUUCUCUACAAGAAUAUCAAAUGAAUUAGAAUACGUAUCAGUCCAAUGGAAAUAUAUGUGCUCAUAAACACAGACACAUAGGUGCUAGUAAUGAACAUCCUAGAAGUUUCACUAUUGUUGCAAAUUGAAAAGAAAAACAUGGACCCAAAAUGAAGAUAUUUGGCUGGACAGAAAAAAAGUAAUUGAUUUUCUCUGAGAGAGAGAGAGAGAG
This 218-nucleotide unclassified non-coding RNA is filed under the name Hevea brasiliensis (rubber tree). Lineage: Eukaryota; Viridiplantae; Streptophyta; Magnoliopsida; Malpighiales; Euphorbiaceae. The record is from RNAcentral.